GCCGAAGUAGCUCAGUCGGUAGAGCAACUGAUUCGUAAUCAGUAGGUCGGAGGUUCAAUUCCUCUCUUCGGCACCA
RNAcentral lists this transfer RNA (76 nucleotides) under Granulosicoccus sp. Its description in RNAcentral is "tRNA-Thr". It matches the Rfam family "tRNA". From Rfam's summary of the family: Transfer RNA (tRNA) molecules are approximately 80 nucleotides in length. Their secondary structure includes four short double-helical elements and three loops (D, anti-codon, and T loops). The record is from RNAcentral. Lineage: Bacteria; Pseudomonadati; Pseudomonadota; Gammaproteobacteria; Chromatiales; Granulosicoccaceae.